Molecule: ribosomal RNA, 403 nt
Filed under: uncultured bacterium
Lineage: Bacteria
Description: partial 16S ribosomal RNA
Rfam family: Bacterial small subunit ribosomal RNA
Source: RNAcentral
GACGAACGCUGGCGGCGUGCUUAACACAUGCAAGUCGAACGAGUGGGGACGGGUGAGUAACACGUGGGUAACCUCCUCAUCAGAGGGGUUAACACUUGGAAACAGAUGCUAAACCCAUACUGCUGGAUGGACCCGCGGUGCAUUAGCUAGUGGGUGGGGUAACGGCUCACCAAGGCCACGAUGCAUAGCCGGCCUGAGAGGAUGAACGGCCACACUGGAACUGAGACACGGCCCAGACUCCUACGGGAGGCAGCAGUAGGGAAUAUUCGGCAAUGGACGAAAGUCUGACCGAGCAACGCCGCGUGAGUGAAGAAGGUUUUCGGAUCGUAAAGCUCUGUUGUUAGAGAAGCGGUAUCUAAACAGAAAGCAACGGCUAACUACGUGCCAGCAGCCGCGGUAAUUC